GACGAACGCUGGCGGCGUGCUUAACACAUGCGAGUCGAACGCUGAAGACCUGGCUUUUGUUGGGUUGGAUGAGUGGCGAACGGGUGAGUAACACGUGAGUAACCUGCCCUCUUCUUUGGGAUAACGCCCGGAAACGGGUGCUAAUACUGGAUAUUCACUGGCCUUCGCAUGGGGGUUGGUGGAAAGGUUUGUUCUGGUGGGGGAUGGGCUCGCGGCCUAUCAGCUUGUUGGUGGGGUGAUGGCCUACCAAGGCUUUGACGGGUAGCCGGCCUGAGAGGGUGACCGGUCACAUUGGGACUGAGAUACGGCCCAGACUCCUACGGGAGGCAGCAGUGGGGAAUAUUGCACAAUGGGCGAAAGCCUGAUGCAGCGACGCCGCGUGAGGGAUGGAGGCCUUCGGGUUGUAAACCUCUUUCGCUCAUGGUCAAGCCGCAACUGUGGGUUGUGGUGAGGGUAGUGGGUAAAGAAGCGCCGGCUAACUACGUG
This 486-nucleotide ribosomal RNA is filed under the name uncultured bacterium. RNAcentral's name for it is "partial 16S ribosomal RNA". It matches the Rfam family "Bacterial small subunit ribosomal RNA", at positions 28 to 507 of the family's 1533-position model. The record is from RNAcentral.